RNAcentral lists this ribosomal RNA (1511 nucleotides) under Prasinoderma coloniale. RNAcentral describes it as "SSU rRNA". It matches the Rfam family "Bacterial small subunit ribosomal RNA". The record is from RNAcentral. Lineage: Eukaryota; Viridiplantae; Prasinodermophyta; Prasinodermophyceae; Prasinodermales; Prasinodermaceae.
AUAAAAAAAGAGUUUGAUCCUGGCUCAGGAUGAACGCUGGCGGUAUGCUUAACACAUGCAAGUCGUACGAAAACUUUUUUUGCUUGCAGAAAAAGUUUUAGUGGCGAACGGGUGAGUAACGCGUAAGAAUCUGCCCUCAGGAAGGGGAUAACAGUGGGAAACUACUGCUAAUACCCUAUAAGCGCAUGCGUAAAAGCCUUCGGGCACCUGGGGAUGAGCUUGCGUCUGAUUAGCUAGUUGGUGAGGUAAUGGCUUACCAAGGCGAUGAUCAGUAGCUGGUCUGAGAGGAUGAUCAGCCACACUGGGACUGAGACACGGCCCAGACUUCUACGGGAGGCAGCAGUGGGGAAUUUUCCGCAAUGGGCGCAAGCCUGACGGAGCAAUACCGCGUGGAGGAUGACGGCCUAUGGGUUGUAAACUCCUUUUCUUUGAGAAGAAGUCCUGACGGUAUCAAAGGAAUAAGCAUCGGCUAACUCCGUGCCAGCAGCCGCGGUAAGACGGAGGAUGCAAGUGUUAUCCGGAAUUAUUGGGCGUAAAGCGUUUGUAGGUGGAGAAAUAAGUCUAUUGUUAAAUCCAGGAGCUUAACUUCUGUCCAGCGAUAUGAAACUAUUUUUCUUGAGGGUGGUAGGGGUAGAAGGAAUUCCUAGUGUAGCGGUGAAAUGCGUAGAUAUUAGGAAGAACACCAAAGGCGAAGGCAUUCUACUGGGCCAAUCCUGACACUGAGAGACGAAAGCUAGGGGAGCGAAUGGGAUUAGAUACCCCAGUAGUCCUAGCCGUAAACGAUGGAUACUAGGGGAUACGCGAAUCGACUCGCGUAUGCUCGCAGUUCACACAGUAAGUAUCCCGCCUGGGGAGUACGCUCGCAAGGGUGAAACUCAAAGGAAUUGACGGGGGCCCGCACAAGCGGUGGAGCAUGUGGUUUAAUUUGAUGCAACGCGAAGAACCUUACCAGGACUUGACAUACCAUAGACGUUUUUAUGAGAAUAAUUAUUUCCUUCGGGACUAUGGAUACAGGUGGUGCAUGGCUGUCGUCAGCUCGUGUCGUGAGAUGUUGGGUUAAGUCCCGCAACGAGCGCAACCCUUGUCUUUUGUUACCCCUAUCGAGAGAUAGGGGGAAUCGAAAGAGACUGCCGGUCAUAAACCGGAGGAAGGUGAGGAUGACGUCAAGUCAGCAUGCCCCUUACGUUCUGGGCCACACACGUGCUACAAUGGGUAAGACAAUAAGUAGCUAACCUGCGAAGGUACGCAAAUCUAAGAAACUUAUCCUCAGUUCGGAUUGGAGGCUGCAACUCGCCUCCAUGAAGUCGGAAUCGCUAGUAAUCGCGGGUCAGCCAUACCGCGGUGAAUACGUUCCCGGGCCUUGUACACACCGCCCGUCACACCAUGGAAGUUGGCUAUGCCCGAAGUCAUUACCCCAACCUCGGAGGGGGAUGCCUAAGGCAGAGUUAGUAACUAGGGUGAAGUCGUAACAAGGUAGCCGUACUGGAAGGUGCGGCUGGAUCACCUCCUUA